RNAcentral lists this ribosomal RNA (406 nucleotides) under uncultured bacterium. Its description in RNAcentral is "partial 16S ribosomal RNA". It matches the Rfam family "Bacterial small subunit ribosomal RNA", at positions 30 to 526 of the family's 1533-position model. The record is from RNAcentral.
AUUGAACGCUGGCGGCAGGCUUAACACAUGCAAGUCGAGCGAGUGGCGGACGGGUGAGUAAUGUAUGGGAAUGUGCCCGAUAGAGGGGGAUAACUACUGGAAACGGUGGCUAAUACCGCAUACUAUUGGAUCAACCCAUAUGGGAUUAGCUAGUAGGUGGGGUAAAGGCUCACCAAGGCGACGAUCCGUAGCUGGUUUGAGAGGAUGAUCAGCCACACUGGGACUGAGACACGGCCCAGACUCCUACGGGAGGCAGCAGUGGGGAAUAUUGGACAAUGGGGGAAACCCUGAUGCAGCCAUCCCGCGUGUAUGAAGAAGGCCUUCGGGUUGUAAAGUACUUUUAGCGGGGAGGCGUUACCCGCAGAAUAAGCACCGGCUAACUACGUGCCAGCAGCCGCGGUAAUUC